This is a long non-coding RNA of Aethina tumida (small hive beetle), 377 nucleotides long. RefSeq lists it as uncharacterized. Lineage: Eukaryota; Metazoa; Arthropoda; Insecta; Coleoptera; Nitidulidae. The transcript is spliced from 3 exons. The record is from RefSeq and is a predicted model, not a curated record.
GUUUCUAUAAAACAAUUUUAGUUUAUUUAAAGACAUAUUUGUCCAAAUGAAACGUUUUGACAUACAAAGAUUUAUUGAAACAUAAAUAAGGAAUAAUAAAAUUUGGUAGCCUUUUGGUCACUUCCGCUUCCCACGCCGAUUCUUCGUAAUUCUCGUACAAAGGAUUGCCUGCAGUUGUAUAGUCAUGACUGUCCACAGACAUCAAAGGAUGAAAUUGGAAUUACCAGUCCGGAAAACGAUUUUAUAUAAUUCUUGCUAAGUGACAAGAUUCUCAAGUUUUUCAAGGAACUGACCCCCGCAAUUUUCUCAAUCAUGUUUGCUGACAGGCUUAAAAUACUUAAAAUAUAUUUUUUGUAAUAAAAUUACUACAAAAUGGA